AUUUAAAUAGCUUAAAAUUAGAGCAUAGUAUUGAAGAUACUAAGGUAGUAAUAUUACUUUUAAAUA
RNAcentral lists this transfer RNA (66 nucleotides) under Nymphes myrmeleonoides. Its description in RNAcentral is "tRNA-Phe". It matches the Rfam family "tRNA". Rfam says of the family: Transfer RNA (tRNA) molecules are approximately 80 nucleotides in length. The record is from RNAcentral. Lineage: Eukaryota; Metazoa; Arthropoda; Insecta; Neuroptera; Nymphidae.